UAGGGAAUCUUCGGCAAUGGACGGAAGUCUGACCGAGCAACGCCGCGUGAGUGAAGAAGGUUUUCGGAUCGUAAAGCUCUUUUGUUAGAGAAGAACGUUGGUAGGAGUGGAAAAUCUACCAAGUGACGGUAACUAACCAGAAAGGGACGGCUAACUACGUGCCAGCAGCCGCGGUAAUACGUAGGUCCCGAGCGUUGUCCGGAUUUAUUGGGCGUAAAGCGAGCGCAGGCGGUUCUUUAAGUCUGAAGUUAAAGGCAGUGGCUUAACCAUUGUACGCUUUGGAAACUGGAGGACUUGAGUGCAGAAGGGGAGAGUGGAAUUCCAUGUGUAGCGGUGAAAUGCGUAGAUAUAUGGAGGAACACCGGUGGCGAAAGCGGCUCUCUGGUCUGUACCUGACGCUGAGGCUCGAAAGCGUGGGGAGCAAAAAGG
This 429-nucleotide ribosomal RNA is filed under the name Bacillota bacterium. RNAcentral describes it as "Firmicutes bacterium partial 16S ribosomal RNA". It matches the Rfam family "Bacterial small subunit ribosomal RNA", at positions 355 to 776 of the family's 1533-position model. Lineage: Bacteria; Bacillati; Bacillota. The record is from RNAcentral.